CCCAGACUCCUACGGGAGGCAGCAGUGAGGAAUAUUGGUCAAUGGGCGAGAGCCUGAACCAGCCAAGUCGCGUGAGGGAAGGCGGUCCUAUGGAUUGUAAACCUCUUUUGCCGGGGAGCAAAAAGCGGUACGUGUACCGCAUCGAGAGUACCCGGAGAAAAAGCAUCGGCUAACUCCGUGCCAGCAGCCGCGGUAAUACGGAGGAUGCGAGCGUUAUCCGGAUUUAUUGGGUUUAAAGGGUGCGUAGGCGGACGCUUAAGUCAGCGGUAAAAUUGCGGGGCUCAACCUCGUCGAGCCGUUGAAACUGGCGUUCUUGAGUGGGCGAGAAGUAUGCGGAAUGCGUGGUGUAGCGGUGAAAUGCAUAGAUAUCACGCAGAACUCCGAUUGCGAAGGCAGCAUACCGGCGCCCAACUGACGCUGAAGCACGAAAGCGUGGGUAUCGAACAGGAUUAGAUACCCCCGUAC
Molecule: ribosomal RNA, 465 nt
Filed under: uncultured bacterium
Lineage: Bacteria
Description: bacterial SSU rRNA
Rfam family: Bacterial small subunit ribosomal RNA
Source: RNAcentral